This 3052-nucleotide small RNA is filed under the name Rattus norvegicus (Norway rat). RNAcentral's name for it is "uncharacterized LOC108352963". Lineage: Eukaryota; Metazoa; Chordata; Mammalia; Rodentia; Muridae. The record is from RNAcentral.
GUAGAUUCUAAUAGCAUAGAGGGUAGGGAUCUGCCCAGCUCUUGCUUUGUUUAAGGCAUAUUCUAAAUGUAAAGGUUCGGUGUGUCUUUUACCUGGGAACUAAAUGGUCAAAGGCAGGGAAGAAACCCGGGUCGGGAUUGAAAAAUUCCUACAACACUAACUAGGACAGACAAGACGAUUGAGAUAGUUUAAUCUUAUGUUCAUAGGUUCCUGUAGAGAGCGUUCUGGGUUUGGACCACAUGGAUCAAGUGAUGGAGGAAGAGAAGGGAACGUCACACGGAUCAACCUCCCUGUUAUCGCACUCCAAUGUCUUGCAGCCUCGAGCCUACCUGUUUAUAAGGAGAUAGAAAGGUGCAGAACAAGUCCAGGAAGAUGGCCGUGUACCCGCAUACAGAGGCUGAGCCCAGGGCAUUCAUAGCAUCUUUUCAAAGGCCCAGGAAAAACUCCAAAAGGGUGAUGAAACAAGGGGAGGGUGUCCGUGACUGUUCCUGAGUGUGUCAGAGAUGGACUCACAGAAUACUUGAGGUGAGCAAGAGGAACUGACCGAUGGAGAAGGUGCAUGAUAUAACUCCAGAUAGCAGGGCGGACAGCAUGUGCGGAAGCAGGAGGCUUCGGGAGAUAAUUGGGAAAACGUUUUAAAGAAACCAUUGAAAAAUUACUGAACUCUUUGGCAUCCCCAAAGCACUCAAUUAUUCAGAAGUCUGUUCCUCACCACCAUUUCUGCUCCAAAACCAAGUGCCUGCUCUAACCUCCGUCCUUUACUGAGAUGAUGUGACAUCUGUAGUAUUCGAAGAAGUCACAGCAGAAGGAAAAAGCUGUGGAAUCGAAUCAUACAUCAUACGGGGAUGAAAAUGGUUGCCAUUGGCCGAGAGAAACAGGAAAUCAUCGUCUGUGAGGAAGCCAGACCGUUUCAACCACAGACAGCAGAAAGGUUCUGAAGGAGGUUUUCUGAACCGGGUUUGCCUUGUGCGGAAGAUUUCAAAGCGUUUCCAUCAGCCUCGUUCUGGCGAGGUGGAGAAAAGAACGAAUGUUUGAAAAGGAAAACACUUCGGUCAACCAGGCAGGAAGAAAAUGAGUAGCUGGUGAGGGAAUGCAUGAUGCGGCCAUAGCAGGGGGCGCUCUUGGUCACGGGGAAAUAAGCAGGUAGCACAGAGAGAGUCAGCGGAGAGCUGGGUGAGAUGGGAGCUAGGGCACAGAAAGACUGUUCAGGCAGCCGAGCUUGGAGACAAGGAGCCAGACAUAAUGCUAUGGUCUUUCAGCUCAGAAAAUGCUGAAGGUGGCUUGGAUGAGAUAUCGGGGAAAGGAAGUGAAGUUGCGGAAAAGUCAUUUGUUUCUGUCUUACGUUUCUCUUCUUCUAAAUUUUCAUGCCAUUUUAGUUUUGUGCAAAAAUUCAAACCAAACCGAAACAAACAAAUAAACUGCCCCCUCCCUUCCCCAAAUGCCAGCAAACGGGAGCUGUAUUUUCUCACCUGUGUUUUAUAGUGGAUAGUUGUUGGAGAGGUUUCGCUCUGUUUGACCCAAGCUCUCAAAAGACAGCUCUUACUGGGACAGAUGUUCCAAUGUGGUGUUUCUGUAUUUUACAUGGGAUCUGAAAAGCAUGCACCACUUCAGAGUGAUUUAGGAGUAAGUCUGUACAUUUUUCUGUUUAGCAAACUCGAAUGGCUUCCCAGGGAAUACAUUCUGUUCUUCCAACAUCUUUCCCUGAGUCCCUGAACAGAUUAGCACGCGUCUCCCACAUUGUCAUCAGAGAGAGCACAAGGGAGUGAUUGGGCAUAGGGCAUGGUAAUUUUACACUUGAGACAGGGAUGCACAAGAUCUGAAGUUUCUAAACUCCUGGAAGACUCUUGGGUACAAGGUAUCUUUUGUGUUCCUGCAAAAACUAACACAAUAUACAGAGUAAUCCCUGUAGAUGAUGAGGCCUGCAGACGCUGUACCUAGAGGCUCUUCUGUUUAGCGCUGGGAAAUACUUUCAUACUGUGUUCUCAGUGCCCAGUCCCACACUUGUAACCCAUAAUAAUUUCAAAGACAGCUUUGGUUAAUAUUCAAUAGGCCCCAAACAGGGAAACGUAAACAUAUUUCUCUUACAUCUUAACAAUUUCCCCCCAUGUUUAAUCUCACGGGGUCCCUUCCUCUUCUUUUCCACCUUUGCUGCUACUGCCCACCACUCCCUCUGGAGCGCAUACACGUUCGAGCCGCACAGAGUGACAGCUUGAGGGAGAUCUCUGAUGGUGCCAUCCAGAUGUACAAGCUGACAGAUCUCAUUCGUUGAGGGAAGAAGCAUCAGGAGUGCCGUUGAUGCUUUUAAAGGUCAUUUAAAUAGGGAAAUCUUUAACUUGUAUACUUUGCAUUGAGAUAAGCCAAGAAAAACAAGUUAUCCAAUUUGACAUUUUUGAAAUAAUAAUAAUAAAACUAGAAAAAAACCCUAAUAGUGUACUAUAGUUUGACCAUUACGUACAGUUAAAGCAGUCCCUUUUGGUAAAGUUCCCUCCUUCUCUAUCCAAAGAGUAUGGUCACCUGUUCUGUGCUGGAAGGAGUUUCUGACUGUAGAAAGGGCCUUGGAGGUUUCUGUAGCAUCCUCAGCCCAUCCCUUGCCUGUUUGGUCCUGAGACAGUGUCCCUUGUCCUGCCAAUGGUUCUUGUCUUAGUUGAACUGGUCUGUUCUGAAUGGUCAGGUCCUGGAAACUCUCCAUGUAUGACUAGGUCUCCUUGCAAGCCUCAGGCACCUUGUGGCCAGAUUCACAAGCUCCUUAGUCAUUGGAGCCUCUUCAGGAAAAAAGGGGAUGUUUUGGGGAGACUAGGCUUCAUCUCCACCCCUUCAGGACCAAGAGUGACCACUACCAUCUGCCUGGAUGUCAUGUUAUUAGCUUUCUGUGGUGAAGUGAUGGGCGGGUAUAGGCUGCCUUUCCGUAGUGAUUAGGCAUCACAGGGAAGAAGAUUGUUAUUUCUCAGUAUAGACUCGGACUCUGUACUCCUUAUUCCUCAUGUCACAUGUAGGGUAACUGUAUGCUUUAAUGUGUCAUCUUUGAAAACUCUGAGACUAGAAAGGACCUCUA